This 505-nucleotide ribosomal RNA is filed under the name Panorpodes paradoxus. RNAcentral describes it as "partial 28S rRNA". The record is from RNAcentral. Lineage: Eukaryota; Metazoa; Arthropoda; Insecta; Mecoptera; Panorpodidae.
AAACCUGAGAAACCCGAAAGUUCGAAUGAAAAGAUUCAAUAUUCUUCAAUUGGUUGUACAUUUACUUAUGUGAUUAUGUGAUAGUUUUGUGUUAAUUUCUUUAUCCUUUACUGGAUUUUGAAUGUACAUAUAUUCUACACCACUUUGUUUAUGAACUAAAUACAACUAUGAAGGUAUGCACUUCUUUUCUAGUAGGACGUUGCGACCCAUUGAAUGUUAAUCUACGGCUACUCGUUAGAGCCUAUUCCUAUUUUACUUAAUUGUAUUUAUGGGAAAUAGAUUUCUGAGUGUGUCCCGAAUAACUGUUCGAUGGUAUUUAUAAAACUAUAAUAUUGGAUCGCCACUUUGUCUGGGCAUUUGGUAUUCAUUCAAGUAUGUAAGGUAAUUUGAAUGUCAGGGGCUCUUGUACUGGCUUUGAAUCCUAACUACUGUUCGAGUGAAAUUUACUAUCAAAUAGUAUCCUUUUAUUGGUCAGCAACGCUGUUGCUUUGGGUACUUUCAGGAC